This 200-nucleotide ribosomal RNA is filed under the name uncultured organism. RNAcentral describes it as "partial small subunit ribosomal RNA". It matches the Rfam family "Bacterial small subunit ribosomal RNA", at positions 1183 to 1382 of the family's 1533-position model. The record is from RNAcentral.
CGUCAAAUCAUCAUGCCCCUUAUGUCUUGGGCUACACACGUACUACAAUGGCCUGAACAGAGGGCAGCGAGACUGCGAAGUUAAGCGAAUCCCUAAAAACAGGUCCCAGUUCGGAUUGCAGGCUGCAACCCGCCUGCAUGAAGUCGGAAUCGCUAGUAAUCGCAGGUCAGCAUACUGCGGUGAAUACGUUCCCGGGCCUU